This 253-nucleotide ribosomal RNA is filed under the name uncultured bacterium. RNAcentral describes it as "partial 16S ribosomal RNA". It matches the Rfam family "Bacterial small subunit ribosomal RNA", at positions 524 to 776 of the family's 1533-position model. The record is from RNAcentral.
UACGUAGGUGACGAGCGUUAUCCGGAUUUAUUGGGCGUAAAGCGCAGGCAGGCGGCAGAGAAAGUCUGACGUGAAAUCUCCCGGCUUAACUGGGAGCGGUCGUUGGAAACUACUUGGCUUGAGGCGAUGAGAGGGGUGUGGAAUUCCCGGUGUAGUGGUGGAAUGCGUAGAUAUCGGGGGGAACAUCAGUGGCGAAAGCGGCACCCUGGCAUUAGCCUGACGCUCAUGUGCGAAAGCGUGGGGAGCGAACGGG